RNAcentral lists this long non-coding RNA (834 nucleotides) under Neodiprion pinetum (white pine sawfly). RNAcentral describes it as "uncharacterized LOC124218293". Lineage: Eukaryota; Metazoa; Arthropoda; Insecta; Hymenoptera; Diprionidae. The record is from RNAcentral.
GUUAUCGUUCUCUCGCCUCCUUCGCGUCCGAGUGCCCGAAGCUCGACUGAAAGCUGAAAACUCAGGGGACCUGCAACGGUACUCAGUUGGGUACUAAAUUAUCACAUUGGAGGUAAAUGUAUGAGUGCAAGACUUACUGUAGUAUACUCCGGACCAAAAACCAUCAGCGAAGGGGGAAAAGCAAGACAAGUGGGAGGAAACGAGUUGAGGUAAAUUCGAGACGAGAUAUCGAAACGGCUAUCGAAGUCUUGGAACGUUGAGGCAGAGCGUAAAUGGGGUCACUUCACUGCCGAAGGUGAACCACUCUGCUGUGUGUAGCUUAUAAUACUCACAGUCUAACAAUUCCAACAGCUCGCUCCGGGAUCCGUUCACAUUCUCAGGUGACUAAUGCGUGGCGAUCGAUUAUUAUUUACUAAUUUUCGUGGCUCGAUUUUGUAUGCGAUUUGUAAAUAGAUUCGACUAAAAUUUUAUUACCCGUACGAAUUCUUGUCUACGUAGAUUGGCAUAUACAUGUCAUUUUUAUUUUUAUUAUCUUGUUUAGAUGCCCCAUAUUAUGAAUAAACAAUUUUUUAAAUAUAUAUAUAUAUAUAUAUAUAUAAAUAAUAGAAUACUACAAAUACACUUAUAGCUUAAUAAUAUAUUCAUAUUUUUCUUCGGUACUAUACCGGUGAGUACGAAAAUACCUUAUCGUGUUUAAGAAUGUCGACGAACUUGAUCUGCAGGUCGCUCGUCGAGCGCCAACACGAGGAAUAACUUAUGUGUUGAAACUCAGGAGAAUAAAUACAUACAUAAUUCAAAUAAAUAAAUAUGUCGUAUGCGUACUUUAAGAAGUAA